Molecule: transfer RNA, 73 nt
Filed under: Spirochaetota bacterium
Lineage: Bacteria; Pseudomonadati; Spirochaetota
Description: Spirochaetes bacterium tRNA-Trp
Rfam family: tRNA
About the family: Transfer RNA (tRNA) molecules are approximately 80 nucleotides in length. Their secondary structure includes four short double-helical elements and three loops (D, anti-codon, and T loops).
Source: RNAcentral
AGGUGACUAGCUCAAUUGGUAGAGCAGCGGUCUCCAAAACCGCAGGCUGGGGGUUCGAGCCCCUCGUCACCUG